RNAcentral lists this ribosomal RNA (101 nucleotides) under Nitrospira sp. Its description in RNAcentral is "partial 23S ribosomal RNA". It matches the Rfam family "Bacterial large subunit ribosomal RNA", at positions 2825 to 2925 of the family's 2925-position model. Lineage: Bacteria; Pseudomonadati; Nitrospirota; Nitrospiria; Nitrospirales; Nitrospiraceae. The record is from RNAcentral.
CCCUAAAGGACACUUGUAGACUACGAGUUUGAUAGGCUGGGUGUGGAAGGCUCGUGAGGGCUGUAGCUAACCAGUACUAAUCGUCCGUGCGGCUUAACAUC